This is a long non-coding RNA of Aplysia californica (California sea hare), 856 nucleotides long. RefSeq lists it as uncharacterized. The record is from RefSeq and is a predicted model, not a curated record. The transcript has 2 exons. Lineage: Eukaryota; Metazoa; Mollusca; Gastropoda; Aplysiida; Aplysiidae.
UGAGGAGAGAACAAAGUGGUGGAGAGGAGAGCGAGCGCCCGUGAGAGCUUCGGUGCAAACGGUUUUUUUUAUUGGUCAGGGCCAGGGUCGCAUCUCGCUUGGCGGGAAACCUGCCUGUACUGUUAAUUCAUGUCUAGCCGCAACUAGCGGCGAGUUCAAAGAGGACUGUCAUUGCCAUUCUGUCAUUUUAUGGGAACCGUGUGAUAUUAUCUUUGUUGUGAAACAAAAGAAAAACAAAUAAAACAUUUUAUAACAGACAAACAAACAAGUUAGAUCUAGUCCAAAUACGAAAUCAGACAACGGUGUUAAUGUUUUGGGGAAAAAAUUCUCAAGGCUGACUUAGUUUCAGGGACGUAAUUUAACUGAAGUGUACACGCCUACAUACUUUGAGUAACCCUGUGUGUCAUUAUUAUUAAACCUGUGACUAUUUUUUUGUGACAUGUUUCUUUAUAGUUAAUUGUAAACUUAUUGCAAGGUGUUUGUAUAUAUAUACAUACAUAUAUAAGGCAAAAUAUAUUGUGCGGAUUUAAGUGUGACUAUUGGUUUUAAAAAAAAACGCACACAAAAAACAACAACCAACAAACCUAGCAACAAAAACGUUUGCAGCCACUUCACCCCCCCCCUCCUCCCCCACUCCUCCUCGGCGCAUUUCUGAUUCUGACUUCAUUUUGAGUUCAAAGGACGUCGAUUUAUCGGAUCAUCUUACUCAGGGUCCAGUUCCUACGUAUUUCAUGUAUCGGAGUUCAAAGGUUUACCUUACAAUCCAUGAGCCAUUCCGGGAAGUAGACGGACGAUUUCCAUUCCAGAGCCGAAGGAAUCGGCAAGGCGACUAAAAGGGAUGAUCCAGAGACGAAAA